Molecule: long non-coding RNA, 714 nt
Filed under: Homo sapiens (human)
Lineage: Eukaryota; Metazoa; Chordata; Mammalia; Primates; Hominidae
Description: non-protein coding LINC00486:2
Source: RNAcentral
CAACAUUGUGUUCUGUGAAAAGAGAGUCCUGCCAAGGGCUACGAGGCAGAAAACUGAUAUUAUUAAAGUGGUCUUCUGAACGCAACUCUCUGCAAGGUCCUAAGGGUUCUAAGUUGAAUAAGGCCCACUCCCUCCCUUCCAGGACUUUAGCUGAGGUUGGUUGGGGCAGAAGUCGGGCAAGACUCAUCGGAACGGAUUAACAGAGACAGAAUCCAGAGGCAACGGGGUGAAUUCCAAGUAUAGAAAAGACACACUUGGUCUGAGGGUAUGUUUCAGCUCAGGCAUGCUGCCAUCAGGACCACGUAAAGCUGGAUUUUUCUACGCUAGUCCAUUUGCACGAUCUGGACUCAGAAGAGAUUUAAGUUUCAAAUCUGGCUUUGUCAGUUAAUGCUUGUGGGAUCUCAACCACGUCACUGACUUCUCUGAGCAUGCUUCCAUAUUUCUACAAAGGAAACAAUAGGUGACUCUGCUGAGUUGAGCACUUGCGAGUACCAAGCAGUGAGGACCUGAGGCACAGAUGCUAACCAGCUUGCUGGAGAUCACACACUCAUGAGUGGCAGAGUGGGGCUUGGAACCGGGUAGCCUGGCUCUGGAGCCCUCACUCCAUCCACACACCAUGCUGGGACCCAGUCGAGUGACCAGCAGACCGGUUGUGUGGGUUAGGUGGAAUGGUGGAUAUAAACCACACAGCCCAGCUCCUGACCCAUGCUGGGC